This 300-nucleotide unclassified non-coding RNA is filed under the name uncultured Microbotryomycetes. RNAcentral's name for it is "sequence contains 5.8S rRNA gene, ITS2". The stretch from base 1 to 71 matches the Rfam family "5.8S ribosomal RNA", at positions 84 to 154 of the family's 154-position model. Lineage: Eukaryota; Fungi; Basidiomycota; Microbotryomycetes. The record is from RNAcentral.
GUGAAUCAUCGAAUCUUUGAACGCACCUUGCGCUCCCUGGUAUUCCGGGGAGCAUGUCUGUUUGAGUGUCCUGAACCCUUCAAACCGUCGAUUGUUAUGAUUGACGGAUUUGGAUUUUGAGCGCUGCUGGUCGAAAGACGGAGCUCGCUUGUAAAAUAUUAGCAUCCAAUAGUCGAUCGGCUUGACUCAGUGUAAUAGACUAUUUGCUGAGGAACGAAAGUGCCGAGGGACGAUGGGCGCUCCAAACGAAAAAAGUCAACUAUAUAUUAGACCUCAGAUCAGACAGGAUUACCCGCUGAA